This 400-nucleotide ribosomal RNA is filed under the name uncultured bacterium. RNAcentral describes it as "bacterial SSU rRNA". It matches the Rfam family "Bacterial small subunit ribosomal RNA", at positions 28 to 422 of the family's 1533-position model. The record is from RNAcentral.
GAUGAACGCUAGCGGCAGGCGUAAUACAUGCAAGUCGUGGGGCAGCAGGUUUGUAGCAAUACAGAUGCUGGCGACCGGCAAACGGGUGCGGAACACGUACAGAACCUUCCUUUGAGCGGGGAAUAGCCCAGAGAAAUUUGGAUUAAUACCCCAUAGUAUAAUGAAGUGGCAUCACUUUAUUAUUAAAGAUUUAUCACUCGAAGAUGGCUGUGCGGCUGAUUAGGUAGUUGGCGGGGUAAAGGCCCACCAAGCCUGCGAUCAGUAACUGGUGUGAGAGCACGACCAGUCACACGGGCACUGAGACACGGGUCCGACUCCUACGGGAGCAGCAGUAAGGAAUAUUGGUCAAUGGAGGCAACUCUGAACCAGCCAUGCCGCGUGGAGGAUGAAGGUCCUCUGG